UGAACGCUGGCGGCAUGCCUAACACAUGCAAGUCGAACGCGAAAUCACCUUCGGGUGAAAGUAGAGUGGCGGACGGGUGAGUAACGCGUGGGAAUCUACCUAGUAGUGGGGGACAACUCGGGGAAACUCGAGCUAAUACCGCAUACGCCCUACGGGGGAAAGGCUUCGGCCGCUAUUGGAUGAGCCCGCGUCAGAUUAGCUUGUUGGUAGGGUAAUGGCCUACCAAGGCGACGAUCUGUAGCUGGUCUGAGAGGACGAACAGCCACACUGGGACUGAGACACGGCCCAGACUCCUACGGGAGGCAGCAGUGGGGAAUAUUGGACAAUGGGCGAAAGCCUGAUCCAGCAAUGCCGCGUGUGUGAAGAAGGCCUGCGGGUUGUAAAGCACUUUCAGUUGGGAAGAUGAUGACGUUACCAACAGAAGAAGCACCGGCUAACUCC
Molecule: ribosomal RNA, 441 nt
Filed under: uncultured bacterium
Lineage: Bacteria
Description: bacterial SSU rRNA
Rfam family: Bacterial small subunit ribosomal RNA
Source: RNAcentral